CCUUCACCUUUUUUGUUUCUGUUUGAUUUUCCUCUUUGUUGCCACUAUUGAUCAAUCUCUUCAUUCACCGCUCUUGUCAUCCUUUAUCACGAGUCAUCGAUUAUAGCCAACACGUACCUUCAUUCAAUCUUUAUUCGUCUUCUCCUCAUAUUUCUCUUCUCGUCGUCCUUUAUCAUGAGUCAUCGAUUACAACCAACACCUACCUUCAUUCAAUCUUUAUUCAUCUUCUCUUCAUAUUUCUCUUUGUUGUCACUAUCGAUCAACCUCUUCAUUCAUUGCUCUCGUCGUCCUUUAUCACGAGUCAUCGAUUACAGCCAACACCUACCUUCAUUCAAUCCUUAUUCAUCUUCUCCUCAUAUUUCUCUUUUUGUUUUUUGAUUUCAUUUUCCUAAAAUUUCCCCAAAACACAAAAUCCUAACAUUUUCCCUUUCCAUUUCUGGCCAAUUCGGGUUGCAAUUCAUGAAACCACCACCACCAAUCGACUUAUUUCCAUGUUCGCAGCAAAACCCUUAUGAUUUUAGUUUCUGUCGCUGUGCGUCGCAGUGAGGUGAUUUCCGGCCGCCGCGAGCCUCCGUCAUUUGCCACAAACAAUGAUUUCUGGCCACCGUCGGAUCUGAAUCUCUCCAUUGCCUAUUCUGCUUUCGACGUUCCAUGCUCUCACCUUGUGCUUUUCAGUUUGUUAAGCUUUGAUAGCUUCAUGGAUUGAUGGUUGUAGCUUCUACCAAGUGGCCUUGUGUUGUGGCUUCUACUUGGCGGUCAAGCUUUUGAUGAUUGAUUUGGACUCUUAGUUCUAUUGGAGUUGGAAGAAGUUCUACGAGACUUGUAUUAUUACUUAAUUAGUUUCAUUGUAUUUUGAUAUGUUUUCUAUUAUCCUCUCCAAGCUAGAAGUGUUAUAAACACCUUCCAGCUUGGGGGGCUAUUAGAGAUAAAAAUUACUAUUGGAGUUGGAAGAAGUUCUACGGGACUUGUAUUAUUACUUAGUUUCAUUGUAUUUUGAUAUGUUUUUGUAUU
Molecule: long non-coding RNA, 1011 nt
Organism: Glycine soja
Lineage: Eukaryota; Viridiplantae; Streptophyta; Magnoliopsida; Fabales; Fabaceae
Exons: 2
Source: RefSeq, a predicted model, not a curated record